This 460-nucleotide ribosomal RNA is filed under the name uncultured bacterium. RNAcentral describes it as "partial 16S ribosomal RNA". It matches the Rfam family "Bacterial small subunit ribosomal RNA", at positions 338 to 795 of the family's 1533-position model. The record is from RNAcentral.
CCUACGAGAGGCAGCAGUGAGGAAUAUUGGUCAAUGGGCGCGAGCCUGAACCAGCCAAGUAGCGUGAAGGAUGACUGCCCUACGGGUUGUAAACUUCUUUUAUAAAGGAAUAAAGUGAGGCACGUGUGCCUUUUUGUAUGUACUUUAUGAAUAAGGAUCGGCUAACUCCGUGCCAGCAGCCGCGGUAAUCCGGAGGAUCCGAGCGUUAUCCGGAUUUAUUGGGUUUAAAGGGAGCGUAGAUGGGUUGUUAAGUAAGUUGUGAAAGUUUGCGGCUCAACCGUAAAAUUGCAAUGGAUACUGGCAGUCUUGAGUACAGUUGAGGUAGGCGGAAUUCGUGGUGUAGCGGUGAAAUGCUUAGAUAUCACGAAGAACUCCGAUUGCGAAGGCAGCUUACUAGACUGCCACUGACAUUGAUGCUCGAAAGUGUGGGUAUCAAACAGGAUUAGAUACCCGUGUAGUC